This 2489-nucleotide long non-coding RNA is filed under the name Prunus persica (peach). RNAcentral describes it as "long non-coding RNA (PPER_LNC007299)". Lineage: Eukaryota; Viridiplantae; Streptophyta; Magnoliopsida; Rosales; Rosaceae. The record is from RNAcentral.
AAAAAGGUCAUGCAUAACAAAAAUUAUACCACAUCAGUGGACAAAAGCACCAACAAAGCUAAUUGACCCCAAAAAGAAAAUUAUAAGACCCAAAAUAAAAGCAAUAAAAGCAAAUCCAAACUUCGAAGAAUUAAGAAUUGGAGCACUGCUUAGAGUUGAACUUGGUGACAUCUCUUCAGGAUUCGUUCACCAUAACUUCUUCGUUAUAACUCCGAUUUAAGUCCACUACGUGUUUACGAACUCGUGAGAGCGAGCUCUACGUAAUGGUGCCAUUAACAUCCCCAAAAUCCUUCUGAAUUAAAAAGAGGAACAAAUUUAGAAUGAAAAGAAAACUCAAAUUUUGUGUGUGAAAGGCACUACGCACGACCUUGCAUUUUAUAUCCGACUCCCAUUCUGAUACUUCCUUUUUUUGGGUGUGUUGUAUCCGAGUCCCAUUCUGAAAAGGUUUCCAAAUACAACUUCGCUUUUUUGGGCAUGAGUUUCCAAAUACAACUAGUAGUAGGAAAUAUACAUCUUUUCAUAAAUGGAUUAAUAUAAGAAGGCGCAAGACCCAAUUUAUAAUUUUUUUUUUGUGUGGAAUUAUUUAGUCUAACUUUAAGGACCCGCCCUGAAUUUUUUCAAAACCCGAGACGAACCCUUUGGAAUUCCUGACAUCACCCCGAUGCCAGGCCCACUUACUAAAAACCGAGACUUCCUGCCGAAAUUUCGGCAGAGUCUCCCCUAUAAAUUGGACAUUUCCCAAAAUUUUAACCUGCAUAAAAACGCAUUUAAUAUCCACAACUGGCAGCAUGCACAAUAUAAUUUCAUGCAAUCCACACAAAUGGCCUUCGGCCUUCCAAUAAUUCUCCAACAACUACCAAACAAUUCAAAUACAAAAUAUGACUAAUAUUUAGUCUGCGGCUGCACCUAAUAACCUCAAGCUGCCUACGUACCCUCCUUGAGGGAUCAAGCCACACGUAGUUCUUCCAUAAAACCCAAUUCCACACUUGGGCGAUACCUUAUUUUAUUUCUUUGUAUUUCAUAUAAUCUCCCCAUACGCCGGUACAACCGACGCCACGUAUGGGGCCUGUCAACACGCCGGAUAACCUAUGCCACGUGCGACCAUGCCAUACUAUCAUAAUAUCUCCCCAUACGCCGGUACAACCAACGCCACGUAUGGGGUCUGUCGACACGCCGGAUAACCUACGCCACGUGCGACCUCAACAUAAUAUUACAUAGCUCCCCAUACGCCGGUACAACCAACGCCACGUAUGGGGCCUGUCCCAACGCCGGAUAACCUACGCCACGCGGGACCUAACUUUCACUUGGUGGUACUUGUAGUGGAUCCAACCUCCAAGGAGGUACCUAAAGUAGUGCGUAUAGCACUCCAAACUGACACUUUAGACUCUGUUGUACCCUUGUACAACCAUAUAUAAUUAUAGUUAUAUAAAUUAAUUCUAAUAUUGUGUAACCCUCCACAAUCAUCUAGCACCCGAUAAUCCCCCCUAGAAAGGUGAGAUUACUCCGGGAGACUCACGGUCAACCAAGGGUCAAACUACUCUAACCCUGGUCAACCGGACCUGCGGAACCCACGACCUCCAAUUUCCGAUCCGAAAGUCCCUAUGGGUUCUACCAGGUAUAGGACACUUGUCCUGCAAGUUUGGUUCAGAUCGGACGGUCGGAUUUCUCACGAUCUCACGAUCCGACGGUUAAUAUAUAAUAUAAACUUAAAAAUUAUUAUUUGGAACAUCCGGGGCUCCGAUUCACGAUCCGUGAAUUCCUACACGAUCCUAGAAAUACCUAGAUUAACAUAUAUUAAAUUUGGGACCAUCCGACGGUCCCAACCUAUCGAACCCGGAUAACGCAUAAUAUGCGAUUAUCCGUUGGAUAGUCAAACGACGUCCGAAUUGAGAUCCGCGAAAUCCUAAGCACUCAUGACGGCACGAGGAUCUCAAAACUGCCCAGAGUCACUCCACCACCCUCGCCCACGCGCUGCCACACGCGCGGGCAGAUCGGGUGUCCAAAGCGAUUAUGGUUCGUCGAAAAAUCUCGGAACCAAGACUCCAAACUCCUAUCCUAGGUAAAACACCUCAUUUGGAGUCACUUUUGUUCUUGGACCUACCCCAAAACGUGACCGGAAAUGCCCGAUCACGGCGGCCGAAGUUUCAGCCGAUUUUCAAUUCGAAAAUUGAGUUGCCUACGCUAAGAAUCGAUCUAAUCCUACCCAACCAUCAGCUAGAGCAGCUCGAGAGCUUCAAAAUCCAUACCUGGGUCGACGGAUUUGGUGGCCGGAGGAGGGAGAUCGACGGCGUUGAAGUUCCGGCGACAUCCGGGCGAAAAUCGCCAUUUUCCGGCGGCUGGAGCUGCGGCCGAUGGCGGGGAUGGGCUGGGUCGUGACGCCGAGGUCAAGCCGGUUCUUUUGACACCGGCCCCGUCCGCAGCCGCGGCCGGUGGCCGGAGUUACGAAGAGAGAGAGAGGAGAGGCCGACGGGAGAGAGAGAGGAGUCGCG